AUGCAGAGCCCAGCUGAAGCCACAGCAGCUGUGUGGACUCUGAAGCACCCCUCUGAAUUGCUGUCACAGUGUGGAGGAUCUCUACCCCCCCGUUCAUCCACAGCUACAGUCACAGAAAAGCAAUCAAUCUCUUGGACUGACAAAGCUGCAGAGGCUAAAAGCUUCUAUUUCAAGGUUAUCAAGGAUGCAUAUUGCACUUUGUUUCCUCCACAUCCUAGAGAGCCUUUCCUAGAAGGGCUCUGUGAUGUGCUGCAGCAGGGCUCUAGACCUGGUUUCCCACAGGCAUAAAUAUGAGUGCAGGUGAGCAAAGGCUGAUAAUGUCUUAACCAAACCCACGGGUGAAGAAAUAGCUGCUUGACAGGAAUAUAUUAAAGUGAAAUACACGAAAUAUUCUGAUGAGCUGAAACACUACACCACUGGGAACUGUAUACAUUUGCAAUAGACUGCAUCCAGUGAGCAGUAAAAGAAAGUAAAGAUUUUGGGAAUAAGAGGAAACUGUUUUUAAGAUGAUUUCUAAUAAAAUCAGGCUUACAGAGUCA
RNAcentral lists this long non-coding RNA (539 nucleotides) under Parus major (Great Tit). RNAcentral describes it as "lncRNA (ENSPMJG00000008412.1)". Lineage: Eukaryota; Metazoa; Chordata; Aves; Passeriformes; Paridae. The record is from RNAcentral.